AAAUUGAAGAGUUUGAUCAUGGCUCAGAUUGAACGCUGGCGGCAGGCCUAACACAUGCAAGUCGAACGGUAACAGGAAGAAGCUUGCUUCUUUGCUGACGAGUGGCGGACGGGUGAGUAAUGUCUGGGAAACUGCCUGAUGGAGGGGGAUAACUACUGGAAACGGUAGCUAAUACCGCAUAAUGUCGCAAGACCAAAGAGGGGGACCUUCGGGCCUCUUGCCAUCGGAUGUGCCCAGAUGGGAUUAGCUAGUAGGUGGGG
This 260-nucleotide ribosomal RNA is filed under the name Escherichia coli. Its description in RNAcentral is "partial 16S ribosomal RNA". It matches the Rfam family "Bacterial small subunit ribosomal RNA", at positions 1 to 257 of the family's 1533-position model. Lineage: Bacteria; Pseudomonadati; Pseudomonadota; Gammaproteobacteria; Enterobacterales; Enterobacteriaceae. The record is from RNAcentral.